This is a long non-coding RNA of Arabidopsis thaliana (thale cress), 517 nucleotides long. RefSeq annotates it as other RNA. The record is from RefSeq. Lineage: Eukaryota; Viridiplantae; Streptophyta; Magnoliopsida; Brassicales; Brassicaceae. The transcript has a single exon.
GUUACGAAUUCUUUGACCAAACUGCAAGUACACACAAAUAAAAUCUUUAGACUCAAAGAUAAACACAAACAAGAAGCAUUAGCUCAAAAACUGGAAACAAAGUCUCAUUAACAGCACUAGCCAUCAGUAAAAUGAUCUUACUAUCAUCAAAAUUAACAUAUCAAAUAUGAAAGACUUGCUUCAAAAAUGAAAACAAGAACCUUGAAACAAAAAAAACAGCUUUCGCUCUCAAAGACCAUGCACAUACCCAAAUUAAGACAAACGAGCUAGUCAAAACGAAGAAACCAACUAGGUUAACUAUUUACCAUAAGAUUCGAAAACUUUCAUUAGUAGAAUCAAUACCCAUUACAGAAAAAUCAAAGUUUAUAACUUUAAGGUCCUAACAGAGAUAAAGCUACAGAUCAUGACUCUGAGCCAAAACCCAGAAGAAAAAACAUAAGAAAAACGCAGAUCCGAUGAAUCAAGUACUGAAGAAGAAGAAAUUAAGGUUUACCUAGAGCUACUAAGCCCAAUAAAA